GACGAACGCUGGCGGCGUGCUUAACACAUGCAAGUCGAACGGAAAGGCCCUGCUUUUGUGGGGUGCUCGAGUGGCGAACGGGUGAGUAACACGUGAGUAACCUGCCCUUGACUUUGGGAUAACUUCAGGAAACUGGGGCUAAUACCGGAUAGGAGCUCCUGCUGCAUGGUGGGGGUUGGAAAGUUUCGGCGGUUGGGGAUGGACUCGCGGCUUAUCAGCUUGUUGGUGGGGUAGUGGCUUACCAAGGCUUUGACGGGUAGCCGGCCUGAGGGGGUGACCGGCCACAUUGGGACCGAGAUACGGCCCAGACUCCUACGGGAGGCAGCAGUGGGGAAUAUUGCACAAUGGGCGGAAGCCUGAUGCAGCAACGCCGCGUGCGGGAUGACGGCCUUCGGGUUGUAAACCGCUUUCGCCUGUGACGAAGCGUGAGUGACGGUAAUGGGUAAAGAAGCACCGGCUAACUACGUG
This 468-nucleotide ribosomal RNA is filed under the name uncultured bacterium. RNAcentral's name for it is "partial 16S ribosomal RNA". It matches the Rfam family "Bacterial small subunit ribosomal RNA", at positions 28 to 507 of the family's 1533-position model. The record is from RNAcentral.